This 409-nucleotide ribosomal RNA is filed under the name Acanthamoeba sp. MN-2012. RNAcentral's name for it is "SSU rRNA". It matches the Rfam family "Eukaryotic small subunit ribosomal RNA", at positions 784 to 1096 of the family's 1831-position model. The record is from RNAcentral. Lineage: Eukaryota; Discosea; Longamoebia; Acanthamoebidae.
UUUUUCUGCCACCGAAUACAUUAGCAUGGGAUAAUGGAAUAGGACCCUGUCCUCCUAUUUUCAGUUGGUUUUGGCAGCGCGAGGACUAGGGUAAUGAUUAAUAGGGAUAGUUGGGGGCAUUAAUAUUUAAUUGUCAGAGGUGAAAUUCUUGGAUUUAUGAAAGAUUAACUUCUGCGAAAGCAUCUGCCAAGGAUGUUUUCAUUAAUCAAGAACGAAAGUUAGGGGAUCGAAGACGAUCAGAUACCGUCGUAGUCUUAACCAUAAACGAUGCCGACCAGCGAUUAGGAGACGUUGAAUACAAAACACCACCAUCGGCGCGGUCGUCCUUGGCGUUCGUGUUCACGCACGAGCGCGAGGGCGGUUUAGCCCGGUGGCACCGGUGAAUGACUCCCCUAGCAGCUUGUGAGAA